UAUAAAAGGUGUGAGAAGGAACUUUAAGU
RNAcentral lists this non-coding RNA (29 nucleotides) under Homo sapiens (human). Lineage: Eukaryota; Metazoa; Chordata; Mammalia; Primates; Hominidae. The record is from RNAcentral.